This 305-nucleotide ribosomal RNA is filed under the name uncultured bacterium. RNAcentral's name for it is "bacterial SSU rRNA". It matches the Rfam family "Bacterial small subunit ribosomal RNA", at positions 333 to 636 of the family's 1533-position model. The record is from RNAcentral.
ACGGGCCUCGGGACGCAGCAGUGAGGAAUAUUGGUCAAUGGGCGGAAGCCUGAACCAGCCAAGUCGCGUGAGGGAAUAAGGCCCUACGGGUCGUAAACCUCUUUUGCCGGGGAGCAAGGGCGGGGACGUGUCCCGGCCCGGAGAGUACCCGGAGAAAAAGCAUCGGCUAACUCCGUGCCAGCAGCCGCGGUAAUACGGAGGAUGCGAGCGUUAUCCGGAUUUAUUGGGUUUAAAGGGUGCGUAGGCGGGCUUUUAAGUCAGCGGUAAAAAUUCGGGGCUCAACCCCGUCCGGUCGUUGAAACUGG